Molecule: ribosomal RNA, 681 nt
Filed under: Streptomyces sp.
Lineage: Bacteria; Bacillati; Actinomycetota; Actinomycetes; Kitasatosporales; Streptomycetaceae
Description: bacterial SSU rRNA
Rfam family: Bacterial small subunit ribosomal RNA
Source: RNAcentral
CGAUGAAACCGCUUCGGUGGUGGAUUAGUGGCGAACGGGUGAGUAACACGUGGGCAAUCUGCCCUUCACUCUGGGACAAGCCCUGGAAACGGGGUCUAAUACCGGAUAACACUCCUGCCUGCAUGGGUGGGGGUUGAAAGCUCCGGCGGUGAAGGAUGAGCCCGCGGCCUAUCAGCUUGUUGGUGGGGUAAUGGCCUACCAAGGCGACGACGGGUAGCCGGCCUGAGAGGGCGACCGGCCACACUGGGACUGAGACACGGCCCAGACUCCUACGGGAGGCAGCAGUGGGGAAUAUUGCACAAUGGGCGAAAGCCUGAUGCAGCGACGCCGCGUGAGGGAUGACGGCCUUCGGGUUGUAAACCUCUUUCAGCAGGGAAGAAGCGCAAGUGACGGUACCUGCAGAAGAAGCGCCGGCUAACUACGUGCCAGCAGCCGCGGUAAUACGUAGGGCGCAAGCGUUGUCCGGAAUUAUUGGGCGUAAAGAGCUCGUAGGCGGCUUGUCACGUCGGAUGUGAAAGCCCGGGGCUUAACCCCGGGUCUGCAUUCGAUACGGGCUAGCUAGAGUGUGGUAGGGGAGAUCGGAAUUCCUGGUGUAGCGGUGAAAUGCGCAGAUAUCAGGAGGAACACCGGUGGCGAAGGCGGAUCUCUGGGCCAUUACUGACGCUGAGGAGCGAAAGCGUG